Molecule: ribosomal RNA, 253 nt
Filed under: uncultured bacterium
Lineage: Bacteria
Description: partial 16S ribosomal RNA
Rfam family: Bacterial small subunit ribosomal RNA
Source: RNAcentral
UACAGAGGUCUCAAGCGUUGUUCGGAUUCAUUGGGCGUAAAGGGUGCGUAGGCGGCGCGGUAAGUCGGGUGUGAAAUCUCGGGGCUUAACUCCGAAACUGCAUUCGAUACUGCCGUGCUUGAGGACUGGAGAGGAGACUGGGAUUUACGGUGUAGCGGUGAAAUGCGUAGAUAUCGUAAGGAAGACCAGUGGCGAAGGCGGGUCUCUGGACAGUUCCUGACGCUGAGGCACGAAGGUCAGGGGAGCAAACGGG